Anolis carolinensis (green anole) is the source of this 47-nucleotide non-coding RNA. NCBI's taxonomy places the organism in Eukaryota, Metazoa, Chordata, Lepidosauria, Squamata, Anolidae. The record is from Rfam.
AGAAAGGUUUUUUUAAAAACCCACCCACAGCUAAAACAGUACUAAGU